This 461-nucleotide ribosomal RNA is filed under the name Salmonella enterica. RNAcentral's name for it is "partial 23S ribosomal RNA". It matches the Rfam family "Bacterial large subunit ribosomal RNA", at positions 1292 to 1753 of the family's 2925-position model. Lineage: Bacteria; Pseudomonadati; Pseudomonadota; Gammaproteobacteria; Enterobacterales; Enterobacteriaceae. The record is from RNAcentral.
GAAUGCUGACAUAAGUAACGAUAAAGCGGGUGAAAAGCCCGCUCGCCGGAAGACCAAGGGUUCCUGUCCAACGUUAAUCGGGGCAGGGUGAGUCGACCCCUAAGGCGAGGCCGAAAGGCGUAGUCGAUGGGAAACGGGUUAAUAUUCCCGUACUUGGUGUUACUGCGAAGGGGGGACGGAGAAGGCUAUGUUGGCCGGGCGACGGUUGUCCCGGUUUAAGCGUGUAGGUGUGUGUUCCAGGUAAAUCCGGUUCACUUUAACACUGAGGCGUGACGACGAGGCACUACGGUGCUGAAGCAACAAAUGCCCUGCUUCCAGGAAAAGCCUCUAAGCAUCAGGUAACAUCAAAUCGUACCCCAAACCGACACAGGUGGUCAGGUAGAGAAUACCAAGGCGCUUGAGAGAACUCGGGUGAAGGAACUAGGCAAAAUGGUGCCGUAACUUCGGGAGAAGGCACGCUG